UUAAACAUGGUUCAAUUGUGCUCACAUUCGCAGCACAGAGAAGAUUAGCAUGGCUCCUGCACAAGGAUGACAUGCAAAUUCGUGAAGCAUUCCAUUAAAGG
This is a small nuclear RNA of Homo sapiens (human), 101 nucleotides long. The record is from Ensembl. Lineage: Eukaryota; Metazoa; Chordata; Mammalia; Primates; Hominidae.